This 371-nucleotide ribosomal RNA is filed under the name uncultured bacterium. RNAcentral describes it as "bacterial SSU rRNA". It matches the Rfam family "Bacterial small subunit ribosomal RNA", at positions 527 to 896 of the family's 1533-position model. The record is from RNAcentral.
GGAGGGGGCGAGCGUUAUUCGGAAUUAUUGGGCGUAAAGGGCGCGUAGGUGGCUUGGUAAGUCAAAGGUGAAAUCCCUCGGCUCAACUGAGGAACUGCCUUUGAAACUGCCUGGCUUGAGGCCGGGAGGGGGUAGCGGAAUUCCCAGUGUAGCGGUGAAAUGCGUAGAUAUUGGGAGGAACACCAGUGGCGAAGGCGGCUACCUGGACCGGUUCUGACGCUGAUGCGCGAAAGCGUGGGGAGCAAACAGGAUUAGAUACCCUGGUAGUCCACGCUGUAAACGAUGGGUGCUCGGUGUCGCGGGUAUCGACCCCUGCGGUGCCUUAGCUAACGCGUUAAGCACCCCGCCUGGGGAGUACGGUCGCAAGGCUG